RNAcentral lists this RNase P RNA (350 nucleotides) under Synergistaceae bacterium. Its description in RNAcentral is "RNase P RNA component class A". It matches the Rfam family "Bacterial RNase P class A". Rfam says of the family: Ribonuclease P (RNase P) is a ubiquitous endoribonuclease, found in archaea, bacteria and eukarya as well as chloroplasts and mitochondria. Its best characterised activity is the generation of mature 5'-ends of tRNAs by cleaving the 5'-leader elements of precursor-tRNAs. Cellular RNase Ps are ribonucleoproteins. The record is from RNAcentral. Lineage: Bacteria; Thermotogati; Synergistota; Synergistia; Synergistales; Synergistaceae.
GGAGUGUGAAAUCCAGCCGCUGGUGUCUUUGACACGGGAGGAAAGUCCGGGCUCCAAAGAGCAGGAUGCCGGAGAAAUUCCGGCGAGUGUGAACUCAGGGAAAGUGCCACAGAAAAGUAAACCGCCCAUUUUGUGGGUAAGGGUGAAAAGGUGAGGUAAGAGCUCACCAGCCGUAUGGUGACAUACGGGCUUGGUAAACCCCAUCCGGAGCAAGGUCGAAUAGGGAAGGAUGAGGCGGCUCGCUGACUUCCGGGUACGACCGCUCAUUCCCGUUUGUAAAAACGGGAUUAGAUAAAUGGCUGGAGGAGAUUUUAUCUCUUACAAGACCCGGCUUAUUGAGCACUCCUUUA